Molecule: non-coding RNA, 4970 nt
Organism: Phoenix dactylifera (date palm)
Lineage: Eukaryota; Viridiplantae; Streptophyta; Magnoliopsida; Arecales; Arecaceae
Source: RefSeq, a predicted model, not a curated record
GACUGUCCUUACUCUUUUAUAGUUAUGAAGGAAACCCCAAACUUUUUAGAAAUUCACUUUGGAAUAUUACUCCUGUGCAAUAAUAUAUAUAGCUCCAAGUUUAGAAAUUCAAUUUGGAAUAUUACUCCUGUGCAAUAAUAUAGCUUCAAGUUAGAUCGUGCUGCAUGAUUUGUCACUAUAAGAAAAUGGUCAACGGAGCGACAAAAUAUUUUGCUACAAAUUAUAAUUUGUUGCUAAUAAGUAUCAUAAAAAAAUGAAAUAAAAUAUAUGUCAUGAAAUAUCAUUUAAAUAGUAUUUUAGCAACAAAAUUAUAUUUCGUUGGUAAUUUGUCACCAAGAAAUUGCAAGGGAGUUUGAUGGCUGAAUUCUUUUUGAUGAACUACCAAUAUUUCUUCGAAGAACGGAUUUCUGGAGAUGCGUUCUUCCUGGGGAAUCCGAGUUUCUAUGCUCUUCAAAUUGGACCAAGAGAUCUUUCUCAACCGUAGAAGAUUGAACUAGCUGUGACCAGUCCACGCUACUUGCUUUGGACCUCUUAGCUGAAGGCAGUUUCCGUAUCCAGUCAACUGAGGACCUGAUGGCUUAGGACCAAGUUGCAAUUGAUAAAAGUAGAUGAUCAAGGCUGCCAUCAAGAUGUCCCCAUAGACAGUCUUAUAUUAAUACCAUAUGCUUAAAUGUACAUAACAGUUGCGUAUACGGAUCUCUUCUAAAAUGGCUUUUCUAAAUGAAAGUCUGCCAUGUCCAGUUUAAAAAUGGACAUGAGGCUGAAUUUAAAGACGACAAGUUAGGACCAAGUUGCAAUUUAUGAAAGCCGAAUUUGGUGCCUAAAGCACCUAAUCUAGAUGAAGGCUCAAGUACGAACAUAUCCUUUGUGCGGAAGAAGCGUAUGCCUCCGCGAUUAUCCACUGAUCAUUUUGAGAUUUGUGCAGAUAGUUGGAUGGUGUAUUUGUAGUGCUUUGAAAUCUGUGCAGUGGAUGAUCGCGCGAGGAGGAAGGCGCAUCCUUGUUGCGCGCGUGUAAUGCAGUCACGUUCCUUCCUAGAGGGGUGUCAACUUGGCGGCACAUUGUUUUGGAAUGGAGUGUUCCAUCUGGUAGUAGAUGGAUAGUUGUUGCCGGAGAGUAAUUUAUUUUAUAUGAUUAUUGGAAAGUAACUUUAAGUCUCCUUUCAUGUUCAAGAUCUCUCCUCCAUCAAGAGAGGUAAAUCCAAUUGGUUCGUUGUUUAGGAUUGGCAUCCAUCACGUGGUGGGUGGAUGAUUAUUGGUGGGGAUUAAUAUUUUUAUGUUUGGAUGGGAUGGCUUAAACAAAUAGUUGGCUGAAAGCUGCAAUGGCCUUGAUGGCCUUUAGCUUUAUAUGGUUAUGUCCAGCCAUGAUUCCUAUCAUUUUAGAAAAAAAAAUCAUAUGGAGGGGCACUAUAGAAUAUUUUAUGGAACACAACUUUCAACUUCCGGAGGCGACCGUAUACAUUGCACACCCGAUGCGGUUCCCAAACCAGUGAGCAAUUUUCGUUAUUCUUUCUUUAUUUUACCAAUGCUGCCGACCAGUUUCUUUCCUCACUUCUCCCGAAUUCCUUUCAGUUAAACGAGGAUUUAAUCUAGAACAAGUGGAAUCACGGCCGCUUCUGUCUCUGCCAAUCUUAUAUAUUUAGGUGCUGCUCCGCCUAGUGAGAAAGUCAUCCGAGUUCGUUGAUCCCAGACAUUUCAUUGUUGGUGACGCUUCCUUUCAGGGGCUGCCUGGUGAUCAGAGAUUCAAGAAGCAGAACGGCUCCGGCGAUGAUAUCUUCGCCCGCCUCUUCGCCGCCUCCUUGGAUCCCGACUUCGCCCCCCUCUCCCUCGAACCGCGGAUCCUCAAGUCCCGCCUCAUCGCCGGCGAGACCCUCUACGGCCUCUUCCUCCUGCGCUCCUCCCCGACCCUCGCCGAGAUCGCCGGCCUCGCCGGCUACGACUACGUGGUCGUCGACAUGGAGCACUUGCUCUGGCGGCAUCGCGGAGGCCCUCCCCUGCCUCCUCGCCCUCGCCGCCGCCCGCACCCCGGCCAUCCUCCGCCUUCCGGAGCUCUCCGCCACCUGAGCCAAGAAGGCCCUUGAUCUCGGCCCCCAGGGACUCAUGUUCCCCAUGAUCGAGUCCCCCGGCACCACUGUUAUCCUUCUCGGUUUCUAGCACUACCUGGUUAUGCUUGGCACCACUGUUAUCAUUCCUACUGCUCUUGUUCCUCAGAUGGGUGGAGGAAAUGAUGAGAAAGCUCAGGUGAUCCAGACAUUACUGUUUGUGGCCGGCUUAAACACUCUGUUACAGACCUUGUUUGGAACUCGUUUACAAGGUCAAUUUUCUAAACCAAUUGGCUAUCUUGGUUUCUGAACAAAACACUUGAAAAUACUAAUGAGAUUUCAUGAACAGGCCUUCUAGUGUACAUUGGGACAAGUUUCUUCUCUUUAGGUUCUUCCAAAGCUUCCUGCCUUUCUUUGUGUUUGAAGUAUGAUAUCUGUUGUAAUUGGAAUGUAAUUAUGCUCUGUCAGGUUUUUAAUUUUAAGUAGGUUGAAGAAAUAUAAUAGGAGAGACGGGUCUGGACUGUCAAGUCUCUGUGAAGGAUUUGGGGUUUUGUUUGAUUUUCUUGCAUGUGCUUCUGAAGCAGAGACUGCAGGGUUGUCAUGGACGCAGAAGAUCUGUAUCUGCAGGGUUGUCGGCCGAAAACCCAAAACUGGGAAUGCUUUGGGCUUUCCUGACACUUUAAAGCGUCGGCAAAUGUCGUUUUUGCCGACGCUUCUAUUAGCGUCGGAAAAGCCCUAUUUCUGCCGACACUUUCUCUUAGCGUCGGCAAAAAUCAGACCCACGCCCACCUGCCCGACGUUUGACCCAUGCUUUGGGGUGCGUGGGCUGGAAAUUCGCCAACACUUAAAAGCGUCGGUAGAGCCAAAAAAACCGUCGGAAGAUAUCCUUUCUUUUGUAGUGCUCUAUUAAGAUUUGGAAUCAUUUAGGUAAAGUGAAAGUAACUUGGUUGACUAAUUUAUUUAAUAAAAUUUUAAAUAUUAAGAAAACAUCUGAUGAAUGGAGGAAGAAUAUUAUAAUAUUAUAAUUUAUAAAUAUAAAGGUGACAUUCAAAAUUAUUCUAACUAUUAUGGUAUUAAACUCAUGCAUUUUAGAAUAAAAGUUUGGGAGAGGGUGUUUGAGCAAAGAUCAAGAUGUGAUAGAAAAAUAUAAGAGAAUUAAUUCAAUUUGAUUCUAGAAAGUUUGACUAUGGAAGUCAUUUUUCUUCUACGGAGAUUAAUAGAUAAAUAUAGAGAAAAGAGAUAUGAUCUUUAUACAACUUUUAUUAAUGUAGAGAAAGCAUAUAAUAGAGUUUCUAGAGAAGUUUUACGGUACGUAUUAGAAAAAGAAAGAAACUUUCAUUGGUUAUUUUAAUAUGAUUAAAGAUAUGAAUAAUAGAGCGGUUACUAGUAUGAGAAUUAUUGAUAAUAAUAAGUAAGUUUUCAUUCAUAAUAGGUUUACACCAAGGUUCUACUCUAAACCACUACCUUUUGCGCUCAUUGUGGAUCAGCCUAUUGGGCAUAUUUAGGAUGAUAUUCCUUAGUGCAUACUAUUGACAGAUGUUAUAGUCUUGGUAAAUGAAACUAAAGUUUGAAGUAAUCGUAAAUUGCAAUUAUAUAGGUGGAAUUAAAAUUUAAGAGCUAUAAGUUAGGUAGGACCAAGAUAGAAUACAUGCAAUAUAGUUUUAAUAAAAUUAGAAAUACGAAUGAAAGUGAAGUAAAAGUUAUGGAUUAUAGAGUUCAUAGGAUUGAUCAUUUUUUAUAUUUUGGAUUCAUUAUUCAUAAGGAAUGGGAGACUAAAAAUGAAUGUUAUCCAUAGGAUUAAAGCAGGGUCAAUAAAAUGCAGAAGUGUAAUUAGAAUAUUAUGUGAUCAUAAAAUACCUAAGAAGCCGAAAAAAAAUUAUAGGGCAGUCAUAUGACUAGUUGUGCUCCACGGUACAUAAUGUCGAGUAGUUAGAAAAUAACAUAUCCACAAGAUGAGUAUGGCCGAAAUGAGAAUAUUGAGAUAGAUAUAUGGUAAUGCAAGAAAAUAUACAAUAAGAGAUAAAGUUAUUUGUAAGAAUAUGGAAGUAGCACCAAUGGAGGAUGAACUGAGAGAUGAAUGACUUACAUGGUUUGGGCAUCUAUAACAUAGAUUGAGGGCUGUACCAGUAUAAAAGAGUAAUUUCAUGCAUAUAAAAAAGAGUGGAUAGAGGCAGAUCAACAAUUACAUAGGAUAAAUAAUUGAGAAGGACUUGAUAAUCGUUGCAACUUUUAGAAAAUAUACUUUAAAUCGAGUAGAAUGGAGGAAAAGGAUUCAUAUAGUCGACCCAAACUAGAUUGGGAUUAAGACUUAGUUGUGUAUAUCAUCAGAAGAAGACUUAUAUUUCUUAUAUUAAACUAGAGUAUUGAAAUAUAUGGUAUACUAGUUUUCUAUCGGUCUAGGUUAGUUCGGAUUCAAAUAGGAAAUUUAAGUAUCCAAAUCUAAUCCAUUUUUAGAACAUGUCAUGUGUUCAAAUCCAAACCUAAUCCAAGUAGUUUUGGUGCUGGUUGGAAUGAAUUGGUUUUGGAUCAGUGCCAGAUUGGAGAUAGAUCAAUCCACUUGUAGGCCUAUAUUUGAAUGAGAAUAAGUGGAAGAUAUCUAAUCUUCUUUGUUUUGUUUUUGAAGAAAAAAACUUUUGGAAGAAAAGUCAUGAAGGCAACGGAGAAAAGUCGGAAAGUGGAAAAAGUUUCACCCCUAUUUUCUUCUAUAAAAGAUAUCUUAUAAAAGAUAUCUCCCAUGUCAAAUCACUCUUCCCUAUAUGCCUUAGGCUUGCCUCAAUCAUUACCUAGUGUUACGGAGGAACUUAGCCGCCAUGCCCCACGUGACCGGCACGCGCACCCAGGAAGACUACGGCAGUCCCUUGAUCCAGUAAUCCGACCCCGAAUCGGAUAUCUUCGGCUCCGCAGUCCGACCUCGAGUCGGCUGCCCCUAGA